RNAcentral lists this long non-coding RNA (884 nucleotides) under Gossypium barbadense (sea-island cotton). Its description in RNAcentral is "long non-coding RNA (GBAR_LNC011139)". Lineage: Eukaryota; Viridiplantae; Streptophyta; Magnoliopsida; Malvales; Malvaceae. The record is from RNAcentral.
GUAGUGGGGCACACUGCAAUACAGUAAACUCGGUAAGCGACUCCAAGUGAGCUGGGUCCUUUUACACAUUAUAAAGAGAAAUAGAUCGAAAUGCUAAUGCAUGGAGGUCAAGGGCGUUUAUACUAUCACUCCAAAAUGAGGUAUCACACAGAUAUAUCACAUUAAAAUUAACCUUUCAGUAUAUCGGUAUGAACUUAUAUGACACCUUAUAUAUUGAUGCAUACACUAGGCUAAAUCGAUCUCUAGCUUCAAAGAGAGAAGCACUGUCGCAGCUGGUUCACCAACAAUAGAUUGCGCAGAAGAGGUAGGACAUGAGAAAGAUCGACCGUUUAAGCUUAAAUUGUGAUAUUUAUAUGUGGUAAAAUUUCACGAGCUGUAUGAUUAUUUGAAUAACUAAUGGUAGUUACUUCGAUAUACUAAGUAAUGUUUAGUUGAACAUAAAGUGAAAAAAGAAUGUGAGGCUUCUAAGUAUAAAUGGAAUAUUUUCCUACCACCAAUACUUUUAGCAGCAUCUUUAAGACUCCCUGCAAAGUACUGCCUAAGAACCUGCAAGCUGAUUGUCUUCUCCAUCUUGGUUCGUCUCUUCUUACCUGCUUUUUUACGUGCUAAAAUGUGACGUCCGCCAGAUGAGGAGGAGUCACCACCUCCUCCCUCAAGACUAGCUAUGCUUCCAGCAUUUUGAUGAAGCAGCCCAAAAUCUGAAAGUACAUGCUUAUUAAAUAACUCUUGCCGAGUUUCUUCCCAACUGGUUGUCAUCUUGAACUCUUCUUUUGGUUCUUCUUUUUGAUAUUCCCAGGAGACAUAAACACCUUUCCCCUUCUGUUGGGCCUCCAUCAUGUGGGCAAUCCAUGAUGACUCCUCUGGGGAGUUCUCGUUUGGAGAAG